This 897-nucleotide ribosomal RNA is filed under the name uncultured bacterium. Its description in RNAcentral is "bacterial SSU rRNA". It matches the Rfam family "Bacterial small subunit ribosomal RNA", at positions 1 to 902 of the family's 1533-position model. The record is from RNAcentral.
UAGAGUUUGAUCAUGGCUCAGGACGAACGCUGGCGGCGUGCCUAACACAUGCAAGUCGAACGAAGCUUGAUGAUGGAUUUCUUCGGAAAGAAAUCUGAUAUGACUGAGUGGCGGACGGGUGAGUAACGCGUGAGUAACCUGCCCUUAGGAAAGGGAUAGCGUCUGGAAACGGACGGUAAUACCACAUAAAGUAUAUUAACGGCAUCGUAGAUAUACCAAAGCUGAGGCGCCUAAGGAUGGACUCGCGUCUGAUUAGAUAGUUGGUGGGGUAACGGCCUACCAAGUCGACGAUCAGUAGCCGGACUGAGAGGUUGAACGGCCACAUUGGGACUGAGACACGGCCCAGACUCCUACGGGAGGCAGCAGUGGGGAAUAUUGCACAAUGGGCGAAAGCCUGAUGCAGCAACGCCGCGUGAAGGAAGACGGUUUUCGGAUUGUAAACUUCUGUUCUUAGUGAAGAAUAAUGACGGUAACUAAGGAGCAAGCCACGGCUAACUACGUGCCAGCAGCCGCGGUAAUACGUAGGUGGCAAGCGUUGUCCGGAAUUACUGGGUGUAAAGGGAGCGUAGGCGGGAAGCCAAGUCAGCUGUGAAAACUACGGGCUUAACCUGUAGACUGCAGUUGAAACUGGCUUUCUUGAGUGAAGUAGAGGUUGGCGGAAUUCCGAGUGUAGCGGUGAAAUGCGUAGAUAUUCGGAGGAACACCGGUGGCGAAGGCGGCCAACUGGGCUUUAACUGACGCUGAGGCUCGAAAGUGUGGGGAGCAAACAGGAUUAGAUACCCUGGUAGUCCACACAGUAAACGAUGAAUACUAAUUGUUCGGGGAGAAUGAUCCCUGAGUGAUACAGCGAAGCGUUAAGUAUUCCACCUGGGGAGUACGCCGGCCACGGUGAAACUC